AACUCAGUUACAUUAUGUUGUGCUUUGUGAAGCCAACUAAAAGGUACUUUGACAUAUGAGAAGUGGCCACAAUCCUUCUCACGGAAAUUACCUGGGGCUCCUGGUUCUUUAGGGGAUAUGAUUAUCAAAACAGAAAUUAACAAACAACAAUAAAAACAGUCUUACGUGAACCACUAUCCAAUGCCUUCAGCCAUUAGUGGUACCCAGAAUUAAAGAAGAAGCCUUCAUCCCACCACCUUCCGUUUUCCAACGGUGCUUCCUGUCUGUCCUCAGGCUCUGUGGGGGAAAGAGUCUUUCUAGAAGCACAAUGCACAGGGGAAUACCAAAGACUUUGACGAGAAGGCUCAGUUAAAAGCUUCUCUGAGCCCUUUGUCGGUCCUGCAUAGGGUAAGGGAUUCUAGAAAAGAAAGAAGAAAAGUGGGCUGAGAGACAAGCUGGUGUCACUCUCUCUUCUAGGAACCAGGGAGACAGCCGGCAGGAGUGCCCCGUGUGGCAGAGGAGAGGGCUCAUGGAAAGGUCCAAACGUCUCCAGUUUGAGAUCUCAGCAUCUCCAGCAUUGAGAGCGAUCUCUGGGAGGCAGAAGAUGACUAAGAGGAGCCCGAAGGUACCCAGAGUUCUCCCUCAACUCCAAGAGGUCCAGAGGCGCCAGAUCACCGGGGCCCAAAACCUCCACCUGCUCCUCUGAUGCUGGUCCUGACAGAGACCCAGCAUCCGGCCACAGCACGGCUGGAGGAGUGGUGUGUAGGUCCAGCUGGAGGAGUGGUGUGUAGGUCCGUGCUGGGAUGAACUGGACACCCCAGGCCUGGGAAGCAGAGGGCGCAAACUUAACAGUUAUGCCACCUGGCUACGCCCUGGUCUCAACUUCCCCCUUGUUCAGUUUCCUUCUUUUCACUUUGAGUACCCCACCCUCAGUGCAGUCACGUACACACAUUGAGGAACCUGCAUUGGGACAAAGCCUGCAGGAGGUUGAGCUGAGUCAUUGUCACCCUUUCUACCCCAAAAGCCCCACUUCUUGAGAGGUUUCCAUAGCACCCUGAAGGGCCAGGACUCGCAGACCCAGAUACUUCAAAGGCAACUGCCUGGACAACGGGCCAUCUGUCUCCCUGGCCGGGACCCACUGGGACCCCACUGGCCCCUCAGACCUGAGGGGAGAACACACCAGUGUUUGUACCUCCCUACAGUGCCGAGUACCUGACAGCUGCUCUGGCUCAUUACUGUCUUGGAGCCAGGAUCCCGCGGUGCGGGGGGCCAGGGUCUCACACCUCCUGCCUGAGUUCAGCGCGGCGGGUGCCCGGGGAUCUGGAAUCGGAGCCUGUGCGCGGAUGUGAGCUGCCUGCCUACCUCUGAGCAGAUUCCAGAACAGGGACCCUCGCUCUGGAGCAGAGGCGGGACCCGAGAGUGGAAGCCAACCUGGUUGGCAGUGAGCUUCCAGACCUACCUGGAGAGCACGUGCCUGGAAUCACUCCAUAGAUCUCUGGAGAACUGGAAGGAGAUGCCGCUUGGUGCAGGCACCAGGGCCAGCCUCCCUGGACCUCCUCUGAGGCUGGGGAUGUGUCCACAGCACUGUCCCUAAGGACGGGAGAGAGCAAGGCAUCGAUCAGGAAACCCUCCCCGCAGCUUAAGGGGUUCCGAUGGGGAGGUGAAAUUUUUCUGGAACUCUAAAUGCUUUACCUUGGCCCAGCGCUUUCUGGGACGUUUAGGGACCACGAGGCUUGGGGGAGAGAAGGUAGGAAAAAAGACUGAGACAUAAUGGAAGGGCAGUUUCCCUUUGAAUCUGACCUUGAAGACCAAGCUCUGCCUGGGUUUUUUUCUCUCAGACUUGGCCCUAAACCUCUUUCCAAGGCCUGCUGCUCCAUGUGGCCCUUCUUUACCUAUGAUGGACCAGAGCUCUCUUCCUCUCCCCGAUGCUUCUGUGACCUCCUCUUCUGUGUGUCUCACCUCCAGUCUAGAACCUGCUCUAAAAGGGCAUUUCCUCUGAGGCUCCUGUGAAGGAAGCCAGUGUUUGACUUUCUACUUUCCCCCCCAAUUCUCCUGUCUAUUCCCAAAGUGGUUACAUAUGCCUCUGUUUAGUGAAUCAUGGGAAGAAAAUCAAUGGAAAUUUUGCAAGUGUAACUGUUCAGAAACACGACUAAUUAUCUCAGCUUUUUUUGCUUUACCUAAAAAUAAGUUAACUUUGUUCAUCUUUCUAAAAAUUGCUUUGGUUAUUUUAAAUAUUUUUUAGGUCUUUUAUGUUUGCAUAUAAAUUUUUUAAAUCAGCUCAUCAAUUUCUACCAAAAGCCUCCUAGAAUUUUGUUUGGAAUUUUGUUGGAUCUAUGGAUCAAUUUGGGGAGAAUUGCCAUCUUAGCAACGUUGAGCCUCACUAUCUAGGAAAAGGGGGUGCAUUUAUUUGUGCUUCUUCCUCUCAGCAGCGUUUCUUGGUUUUCAGUGUCUUGGUUUUCUGAGGUCUGAGACAUUGUUUCUAAGAUUUAUUCCUAAGAAUUUGAUGAUUUCUGGCACUAGUGUACUUGGAAUGAUAUUUAAAUUGUAUUUCCAAUUAUUUGUUGCUUAUAUAUAACAUAUUUGGUGACAGUUUUGUAUAUUAAACUUAUAUCCUAUUAGUUUGUUUUGCUAAAAGAU
Non-coding RNA from Equus caballus (horse), 2616 nucleotides. The record is from RefSeq and is a predicted model, not a curated record. NCBI's taxonomy places the organism in Eukaryota, Metazoa, Chordata, Mammalia, Perissodactyla, Equidae.